RNAcentral lists this long non-coding RNA (1012 nucleotides) under Macaca fascicularis (crab-eating macaque). RNAcentral describes it as "lncRNA (ENSMFAG00000059649.1)". The record is from RNAcentral. Lineage: Eukaryota; Metazoa; Chordata; Mammalia; Primates; Cercopithecidae.
UUUUUUUUUUUUUGAGAUGGAGUCUCACUCUGUGGCCCAGGCUGGAGUGCAGUGGUGCAAUUUCAGCUCACUGCGACCUCCGCCUCCUGGGUUCAAGGGAUUCUCCUGCUUCAGCCUCCCAAGUAGCUGAGAAUACAGGUGCAUGCCACCAUGCCCGGCUAAUUUUUGUAUUUUUGGUAGAGACAGCAUUUCACUGUUGGCCAGGCUGGUCUCAAACUCCUGGCUUCGUGAUGCACCCGCCUCAGCCUCCCAAAGUGCUGGGAUUACUGGUGUGAGCCAUUGUGCCCGGCCAAAGGCUUUUCUUAAUAAAAAUAAAACAAAAUUUACAGAGCAGGAAGAUUAUCAAAGGCUUGGGUUCUAGUGUUAGCUCUGCCACUAACAGCUGGAUGGCCCCCAGCAAAUCACUUAAUCCUCACUGUGUAACUUCUCCUUGUAAAAUGGAGAUAACAGUACACACCCCACAGGGUUGUUUCAGGAUUAAAUGAGACUGCAGAUAUAAAGUAUCUAGCACAAUCCCUGGCACAUGAAGGGGGUUCAAUCCAUGGUAGAAAUGAUUAAUAAUAUUCUGAUAUUUCUUACCUGUCGGCAUUGAAGGGUUGGAGCGUGAAGAUCAAGGGACUGUAAAAGUACUGAAUGAACUAGAGGGACCGAGACAAAUCUCAGAUGUUCUUUUUAGGUGUUACUGGGCUCUAAGUUAAAUCUGUUAGUACUGGGAAGUGGAGCAAUGAGAUAAAGAUACAUUAUCAAGGACAAACUUUCCCUUUACACAGAUACCUGAUAUACCUAAUUCCAGCCAUAAAGUUGCUGAAAUACGAGGAAUGCCAGUGCCUAACAGACUUCCUCAGGGGGGUGUUGUGAAGAUUAAUAGUUUAGAAUGGUGUCACCGUUAUUAAGGUGCUUGGAUUCCCUCGAGCAGAGGGGAUAUGUAAAUCCAGAGACUCAUCAUAAAAGUAAUAUCAUCACUGUUUCUCACAGCCGACUGUUUCCUAAGCUGGGAUAGAAUUUCCAGAAG